ACUGGUCUUAAGGAUGACAUACCUGCCUUCACUGAGAUGAUAGUUUGUUGAUGAGAAUCUUGCUUAUUUUUAUACUCGUCAGCUGAGCCAGU
This is a small nucleolar RNA of Choloepus hoffmanni (Hoffmann's two-fingered sloth), 92 nucleotides long. Lineage: Eukaryota; Metazoa; Chordata; Mammalia; Pilosa; Megalonychidae. The record is from Ensembl.